RNAcentral lists this ribosomal RNA (537 nucleotides) under Staphylococcus sp. RNAcentral describes it as "bacterial SSU rRNA". It matches the Rfam family "Bacterial small subunit ribosomal RNA", at positions 1 to 524 of the family's 1533-position model. The record is from RNAcentral. Lineage: Bacteria; Bacillati; Bacillota; Bacilli; Caryophanales; Staphylococcaceae.
UUGGAGAGUUUGAUCCUGGCUCAGGAUGAACGCUGGCGGCGUGCCUAAUACAUGCAAGUCGAGCGAACAGACGAGGAGCUUGCUCCUCUGACGUUAGCGGCGGACGGGUGAGUAACACGUGGAUAACCUACCUAUAAGACUGGGAUAACUUCGGGAAACCGGAGCUAAUACCGGAUAACAUGUUGAACCGCAUGGUUCAACAGUGAAAGACGGUCUUGCUGUCACUUAUAGAUGGAUCCGCGCCGCAUUAGCUAGUUGGUAAGGUAACGGCUUACCAAGGCAACGAUGCGUAGCCGACCUGAGAGGGUGAUCGGCCACACUGGAACUGAGACACGGUCCAGACUCCUACGGGAGGCAGCAGUAGGGAAUCUUCCGCAAUGGGCGAAAGCCUGACGGAGCAACGCCGCGUGAGUGAAGAAGGUCUUCGGAUCGUAAAACUCUGUUAUUAGGGAAGAACAAAUGUGUAAGUAACUAUGCACGUCUUGACGGUACCUAAUCAGAAAGCCACGGCUAACUACGUGCCAGCAGCCGCGUAAU